RNAcentral lists this ribosomal RNA (250 nucleotides) under uncultured bacterium. Its description in RNAcentral is "partial 16S ribosomal RNA". It matches the Rfam family "Bacterial small subunit ribosomal RNA", at positions 32 to 265 of the family's 1533-position model. The record is from RNAcentral.
AAUCAACGCUGGCGGCGUGCCUAACACAUGCAAGUCGAACGCGAAAGGGGAGCAAUCCCUGAUUAGAGUGGCAAACGGGUGAGUAACACGUGGGUGACCUGCCUUCGAGUGGGGGAUAACCUUCCGAAAGGAGGGCUAAUACCGCAUGACAUACCGUGUUUGGAUACACGGAUAUCAAAGCCGGGGAUCGCAAGACCUGGCGCUUGAAGAGGGGCCCGCGUCCGAUUAGCUAGUUGGUGGGGUAACGGCU